UGGGGAAUAUUGCACAAUGGGCGCAAGCCUGAUGCAGCGACGCCGCGUGGGGGAUGACGGCCUUCGGGUUGUAAACCUCUUUCAGCACAGACGAAGCGCAAGUGACGGUAUGUGCAGAAGAAGCACCGGCCAACUACGUGCCAGCAGCCGCGGUAAUACGUAGGGUGCGAGCGUUGUCCGGAAUUACUGGGCGUAAAGAGCUCGUAGGUGGUUUGUCGCGUUGUUCGUGAAAACUCACAGCUUAACUGUGGGCGUGCGGGCGAUACGGGCAGACUGGAGUACUGCAGGGGAGAUUGGAAUUCCUGGUGUAGCGGUGGAAUGCGCAGAUAUCAGGAGGAACACCGGUGGCGAAGGCGGGUCUCUGGGCAGUAACUGACGCUGAGGAGCGAAAGCGUGGGGAGCGAACAGGAUUAGAUACCCCCGUAGUCC
This 429-nucleotide ribosomal RNA is filed under the name uncultured prokaryote. RNAcentral's name for it is "bacterial SSU rRNA". It matches the Rfam family "Bacterial small subunit ribosomal RNA", at positions 355 to 796 of the family's 1533-position model. The record is from RNAcentral.